UACAGAGGUCUCAAGCGUUGUUCGGAUUCAUUGGGCGUAAAGGGUGCGUAGGCGGCGGGGUAAGUCGGAUGUGAAAUCCCGGGGCUCAACCCCGGAACUGCAUUCGAUACUGCCUUGCUAGAGCACUGGAGAGGAGACUGGAAUUUACGGUGUAGCAGUGAAAUGCGUAGAUAUCGUAAGGAAGACCAGUGGCGAAGGCGAGUCUCUGGACAGUUACUGACGCUGAGGCACGAAGGCCAGGGGAGCAAACGGG
This 253-nucleotide ribosomal RNA is filed under the name uncultured bacterium. Its description in RNAcentral is "partial 16S ribosomal RNA". It matches the Rfam family "Bacterial small subunit ribosomal RNA", at positions 524 to 776 of the family's 1533-position model. The record is from RNAcentral.